GCUGAAGUAGCAUAGAAACAGUGGAUUCAAAAUCCAUUGGGGUAAAACCCGUGCCGGUUCGAGUCCGGCCCUCGGCACCC
This 80-nucleotide transfer RNA is filed under the name Gammaproteobacteria bacterium. RNAcentral describes it as "tRNA-Leu". It matches the Rfam family "tRNA". From Rfam's summary of the family: Transfer RNA (tRNA) molecules are approximately 80 nucleotides in length. Lineage: Bacteria; Pseudomonadati; Pseudomonadota; Gammaproteobacteria. The record is from RNAcentral.